CAAAACUGACGCUGAUGCGCGAAAGCGUGGGGAGCAAACAGGAUUAGAUACCCUGGUAGUCCACGCCGUAAACGAUGAGUACUAGGUGUUGGGGGUUUCGAUACCUUCGGUGCCGCAGUUAACACAAUAAGUACUCCGCCUGGGGAGUACGGUCGCAAGACUGAAACUCAAAGGAAUUGACGGGGGCCCGCACAAGCGGUGGAGCAUGUGGUUUAAUUCGACGCAACGCGAAGAACCUUACCAAGACUUGACAUCCCGCUGACUGUAGUUGUAAUGACUACUUCCCUUCGGGGCAGCGGUGACAGGUGGUGCAUGGUUGUCGUCAGCUCGUGUCGUGAGAUGUUGGGUUAAGUCCCGCAACGAGCGCAACCCUUAUUUUCAGUUGCCAUCAUUCAGUUGGGCACUCUGGAGAGACUGCCGCAGACAAUGCGGAGGAAGGUGGGGAUGACGUCAAAUCAUCAUGCCCCUUAUGUCUUGGGCUACACACGUGCUACAAUGGUCGGUACAGAGGGCAGCUAAGCAGUGAUGCGGAGCCAAUCCCAAAAAGCCGAUCCCAGUUCGGAUUGCAGGCUGCAACCCGCCUGCAUGAAGUCGGAAUCGCUAGUAAUCGCAGGUCAGCAUACUGCGGUGAAUACGUUCCCGGGCCUUGUACACACCGCCCGUCACACCACGAAAGUUGGUAACACCCGAAGUCGGUGAUCUGACUCUUAUGAGAGGAAGCCGCCCACGGUGGGAUCGAUGAUUGGGGUGAAGUCGUAACAAGGUAGCCGUAUCGGAAGGUGCGGCUGGAUCACCUCCUU
Molecule: ribosomal RNA, 800 nt
Filed under: uncultured bacterium
Lineage: Bacteria
Description: bacterial SSU rRNA
Rfam family: Bacterial small subunit ribosomal RNA
Source: RNAcentral